UGAGGAAUAUUGGUCAAUGGACGCAAGUCUGAACCAGCCAUGCCGCGUGAAGGAUUAAGGUCCUUUGGAUUGUAAACUCCUGUCAUGCGAGAACAAAGCCCGCAAGGGUGUGAUAGUACCGCAAGAGGAAGAGACGGCUAACUCUGUG
This 148-nucleotide ribosomal RNA is filed under the name uncultured bacterium. RNAcentral describes it as "partial 16S rRNA". It matches the Rfam family "Bacterial small subunit ribosomal RNA", at positions 355 to 507 of the family's 1533-position model. The record is from RNAcentral.